Molecule: ribosomal RNA, 253 nt
Filed under: uncultured bacterium
Lineage: Bacteria
Description: partial 16S ribosomal RNA
Rfam family: Bacterial small subunit ribosomal RNA
Source: RNAcentral
UACGGAGGGUGCGAGCGUUGUCCGGAAUCACUGGGCGUAAAGGGCGCGUAGGCGGCCUGAUAAGUAGGGGGUGAAAUCCUGCGGCUUAACCGCAGGGCUGCCUUCUAAACUGUCAGGCUUGAGCACAGUAGAGGCAGGUGGAAUUCCCGGUGUAGCGGUGGAAUGCGUAGAGAUCGGGAAGAACAUCAGUGGCGAAGGCGGUUGCCUGGAGCUUUGCUGACGCUGAUGCGCGAAAGCGUGGGGAGCGAUCCGG